GGUCCAGUGGUCUAGUGGUUAUGAUUUCUGUCUCACAGUGAGAUACGCGCACAGAAGGUCCCCGGUUCGACCCCGGGCUGAACCA
Molecule: non-coding RNA, 85 nt
Organism: Mycena floridula
Lineage: Eukaryota; Fungi; Basidiomycota; Agaricomycetes; Agaricales; Mycenaceae
Source: the annotation of a GenBank genome assembly